Molecule: non-coding RNA, 216 nt
Filed under: Exiguobacterium sp.
Lineage: Bacteria; Bacillati; Bacillota; Bacilli; Caryophanales
Also listed under: 2 other names
Description: T-box sequence
Rfam family: T-box leader
About the family: Uncharged tRNA acts as the effector for transcription antitermination of genes in the T-box leader family. T-boxes are found upstream of many aminoacyl-tRNA synthetase genes and some amino acid biosynthetic genes usually in Gram-positive bacteria. The anticodon of a specific tRNA base pairs to a specifier sequence within the T-box motif, and the NCCA acceptor tail of the tRNA base pairs to a conserved bulge in the T-box antiterminator hairpin.
Source: RNAcentral
UAGCAAGCGUUGAAGAGGACUAGUAGCGAACGUUCCGUUUCAAAGAGAGUCGAUGGAUGGUGUGAAUCGAUAAGCGGAUGUUGUGAACUCGCCUUGGAGCUGUUUUCCUGAAACGAGUAGGGAAAACCGGGGUUACGCCUCGUUACCGGCGUCUCAAGUGGCAGCAAUGCAACAUGGGUGGUACCGCGGAGAGCUUUCAAGCCUUUCGUCCCAUUU